GUGGGGAAUAUUGGGCAAUGGGCGCAAGCCUGACCCAGCAACGCCGCGUGAAGGAAGAAGGCUUUCGGGUUGUAAACUUCUUUUAACAGGGACGAAGUAAGUGACGGUACCUGUUGAAUAAGCCACGGCUAACUACGUGCCAGCAGCCGCGGUAAUACGUAGGUGGCAAGCGUUAUCCGGAUUUACUGGGUGUAAAGGGCGUGUAGGCGGGACUGCAAGUCAGAUGUGAAAACUAUGGGCUCAACCCAUAGCCUGCAUUUGAAACUGUAGUUCUUGAGUGUCGGAGAGGCAAUCGGAAUUCCGUGUGUAGCGGUGAAAUGCGUAGAUAUACGGAGGAACACCAGUGGCGAAGGCGGAUUGCUGGACGAUAACUGACGCUGAGGCGCGAAAGCGUGGGGAGCAAACAGGAUUAGAAACCCUGGUAGUCC
Molecule: ribosomal RNA, 428 nt
Filed under: uncultured bacterium
Lineage: Bacteria
Description: bacterial SSU rRNA
Rfam family: Bacterial small subunit ribosomal RNA
Source: RNAcentral